UACGAAGGGGGCUAGCGUUGCUCGGAAUCACUGGGCGUAAAGCGCACGUAGGCGGAUUGUUAAGUCAGGGGUGAAAUCCUGGAGCUCAACUCCAGAACUGCCUUUGAUACUGGCGAUCUUGAGUCCGGGAGAGGUGAGUGGAACUGCGAGUGUAGAGGUGAAAUUCGUAGAUAUUCGCAAGAACACCAGUGGCGAAGGCGGCUCACUGGCCCGGUACUGACGCUGAGGCGCGAAAGCGUGGGGAGCAAUCCGG
This 253-nucleotide ribosomal RNA is filed under the name uncultured bacterium. RNAcentral describes it as "partial 16S ribosomal RNA". It matches the Rfam family "Bacterial small subunit ribosomal RNA", at positions 524 to 776 of the family's 1533-position model. The record is from RNAcentral.